AUACGGAGGAUGCAAGCGUUAUCCGGAUUUAUUGGGUUUAAAGGGUGCGUAGGCUGUUCGGAAAGUCAGGGGUGAAAGCCCGGCGCCUAACGCCGGAACUGCCUUUGAUACUUCCGAGCUGGAAUACGGAUGCCGUGGGAGGAAUGAGUAGUGUAGCGGUGAAAUGCAUAGAUAUUACUCAGAACACCGAUUGCGAAGGCAUCUCACGAAUCCGUCAUUGACGCUGAGGCACGAAAGCGUGGGGAUCAAACAGGAUUAGAUACCCUGGUAGUCCACGCAGUAAACGAUGAUGACUAACCGUCGGCGAUACACAGUCGGUGGCCAAGCUAAAGCGAUAAGUCAUCCACCUGGGGAGUACGUUCGCAAGAAUGAAACUCAAAGGAAUUGACGGGG
RNAcentral lists this ribosomal RNA (393 nucleotides) under uncultured bacterium. RNAcentral's name for it is "partial 16S ribosomal RNA". It matches the Rfam family "Bacterial small subunit ribosomal RNA", at positions 523 to 918 of the family's 1533-position model. The record is from RNAcentral.